This 398-nucleotide long non-coding RNA is filed under the name Mus musculus (house mouse). RNAcentral's name for it is "novel transcript". The record is from RNAcentral. Lineage: Eukaryota; Metazoa; Chordata; Mammalia; Rodentia; Muridae.
GGCUUCCUGAUCCUAGGUGUUAUGUUGAGUGUUGUUCUUUGGUCUCUAGGAACUCUGAGCAGCAGCAGGGCACCUAUAGAGCUGCUGACUUGGAUUGUCCUGUGGCCAUAUUCACUGUCAUCUUGAUAUUACUGGUGAACCUGAUGCACAGGCUCCAAUGCUGGACGUCUCGCUACCCACCGGGCCCCGUGCCAUGGCUUGUGCUGGGUAACCUGCUGCAGGCAGACCUACAUAACAUGACAUACAACUUAUACAAGCAGCCUUCAGAUGAGAUGAAGAACUUACAGCUCUACCUGUACCAUGCCUGCCCAGAUACUGCCAUGCUCCCAUCUUGAUGAUAAUGGACUAAACCACAGAACCUGUAAGCCAGCCCCGAUUAAAUGUGGUUCUUUAUAAGA